Eucalyptus grandis is the source of this 1418-nucleotide long non-coding RNA. RefSeq lists it as uncharacterized. The record is from RefSeq and is a predicted model, not a curated record. Lineage: Eukaryota; Viridiplantae; Streptophyta; Magnoliopsida; Myrtales; Myrtaceae. The transcript has 3 exons.
ACGCUAGCACGACUGUCCAGAGACCAACGACGUUCUCAUCGGUCAUGAAUUUAUUCACAAUAAUAAGCAUAUUCUUAUUUUGAAAAGAUGCAAACAUGUUAUGAGCAAGCGUGCUUAAAAUUUGAUUUAAUUGAUAGAUUCCAUUUGUGUGUUAACCGUAGCUCAUAACCACAAAACUAUCAAAAGAACAACUCUAUCGGUCGCCUCUUUCUCUUGGCUGUUGGUUGCCAAUAGUGGGCGUCGCCGAUCGCCAAUGCUGCCGCCGUCUAUUGCUGCCAGUCAUGGUCGUGGUCAUCAGUCGUUCAUCACUUUUCAUCAUCGAUGAGAAGUACUGUCCAAUGGGAUCACGUCGUGUUCGUCAUCCAUGCGAUGAAAAAUGAAAUUUUAAUCCAAAGCAUGAGAUUGCAUCACUCGUUUUAAGAUGGGCGGGAUAUGGACAAUGAAUCAAAGCCUAACCCUGAGGGUGAGAAGUGGAAAGAAAGAAUGCAGUGAGGAGUAAAAGAAUCAUAAACACCAAACGACGUUUCAAAGAGAUUCUGGGGUUGAAGGAGAUGGAGAGCCCCAAGUUCAAGUUCAAGGUGAUAUGGCGGCUAUGGCGAGAGCUUGCCCAGCGGUUGAUCCCAAGUACCUUCCCUGAGGCCACCAUGUCUGCUUCACCAUCUCCAAUUCGGAUCCUUUCGUGCAAACUCUCAAGCGCAAUCAACGGCAAUGGAACUCGGAAAACAGCGAGGGCAAAGCAGGAAUAAACUGAAGUCAUAUAUCCAAGAAUGUAGCCGGAUACAAAACGAACUGAUUCAGCUGUGGGCGUCAUCAAUGAGUCAGCAAAGGCCACAAACGGCUUCAAGCGAUCGCCCUCAGAAACUCAACGCCGGAUACGCGCAAUCCCGAGGCGGAAGCCCAAAGCAAUAAUGGAGAGGGACAGAUGACGGAAGGAGAGGAGGCUGGAGCAUGGUGCUUGAAGGAUCGCGGAGCGAACGUAGUCAGUUCAAGAUCGAGACCAUCACAGGCGAGGCGGCGAUAGCGAUGGUCGCUGGAGAGGGGGAAACCCAAACGGAGGAGCCAUCAACGGUAGCAGAGACAUGCCGGCGGAGGGAGAGGAGCUGCGCCGGAGAUGGAGGCGGAGGCGGCGGCGGAGGCGCAGCGACGGCAAGUGUCCAACCGGCUCGAGUCAUGGGCUGAUGGAAUGGGCUGGGCUGCGCUUGUGGUCGGACCGGGCUGCAUAUGGCUGAACUUAAGGGAUGGGCUGGAGCUUUAUUAUUUUCUUAUCAAUCUCUCUUCUUUUCCUUUUCAUUUUUUAACUUUUCAUUUUUGUAUUUAUUUAGUUUUCUAUAAUAACGCAUUCUUGAUUUGUCCAGCAUUAUGCAUCUCAUGAAGGAGAUAUAAUAUACGUAUCACUAAGUUGAUGCACUUUGUAACAA